UAUCUGUUGCAAAUAUUUUUCCCAGGCUGCCAUUUACUUUUGAACUUCACUUACGAUGUUUUACACUUUUACCUGGACCUGGGAACACUGCAAUCUGUAAUAAUGACCACACCCACCUUCCAGAUCUUGCUUGGUGACACAAUUCUCUCCUGAAAGGAGCCAGGGCUCCUUGGAGCAGUGGCUGGUCCUGGGGCUGUGGCAGGAAACAAGCAAGGGCCUGCCAACAAGCCCCAGCUGGACCCAGAGGACAGAGGCUCCAGGCUCCAUCAAGGAGGGUGAAUGACACCUGCCCUAAGGCUCCAGCUCCUGCCUGCUGGGUGUUCAGGGGUCUUUCUAGAGAACAGAACAAUGUCCUGGGUGGAGGACGAGAAUCCUAAGUUGUUCCUUAUGAGUCUGACCAAAACCCUGAGCUAGGGGAAGACCCCAGCUCUGCACCCUGGUCCUGUAGAUCUUUGGAGGGGCUGGGCAGCCCACAUGUGACACACAUUGUCUUUGUGACACACACACAGCCAGGGGUUCUAGGCCCCUGCAGAAUGAGCAAUCAUGGACAAGGCCCAGCCCCCAGGAGUGGGCUCUAGAGCCACUCCUGCAUCUGUGUGUCCCUCCCUCCAGCAGGACAGUCCAGUCUGUCCUUCCAAACCUCAGAGAUUCCAAGAACCAAACCUGAUACCCCCUGAGGCGAGAACUAGUCCAGUGACACUGCCAACAGGAAGCCUUCACCCACAUCCAGGAGAGGCACCUGCUGUGGUUCCUGCCACCGCCAGUGUGGGUGGCCCAGGGAGACUUCCUUGGGCUCUGUUUACCCAACUUAGUGCUGGUUUCCCAGGCCAGCACCCCUUCUCCAAAAGAGGCAGUGGCCAGCAGGUUCCAGCACAACACCAGCCUGCAGGUACCUUUUUGGGUUUUUGCCUUGACCCCAGGCAUGAGUUCUGAUGUUGGUUUGCCUCAUUCCAGCCUUGGUGCAUUCUGCUUUCUGAGGGAUGCCCAGUCAGCUAGGCGUGGAGCACUAUUGCACUGAGUUUCUCCAUUUGGGGGAUAUUUUAUUGACAUUUUUUAAAAAGCAUAAGUUUCAGGAGACACUAAGAAUAAAGUAAAAGGUUAGUCACAGACUGGGAGCUAACGUUCACAAUAUAUGUGUCUGGCAGAGGACUUGUAUCCAGAAUAUAUAAAGAACUUUCACAGGUCAGUAAGGAGACACACAAUCCAACAGAAGUGAGCCUGCCAAAGAUGUGAACAUACAUUUCACCAAAAAAGAUAUAUGGAUGGUUAAUAGAGACAUGAAAUGCCACUUAAAACCACACUGAAAAUGCUAAGCAUAGUGGUGCAUACCUGUAAUCUCAGCACUCAAGAGGUUAAAAUAGGAGGAUUGAGUUCAAGGUCAUCCUAGGCUACAUAGCCAGAACCUGUCUCAAAGCAACUAUGACAAAAUUAAAACCCUACAUGGCCCAAAAAUAGAAACAGUCGAUCUAUUUUCUGCCAUUUAAAGGAAGAAAUUAUUUCUGUCCAAUGGCCCCAUCCUCGCUCUACCUCUUUUAGGUCCAUAGUUCUAUGUCUAUUCUGUGAUGCUGUUCCACAUGCAGGUAGAUUCAGUGUUGUACAUAGCUGUUUUUAAAUAUACUCCCAUAUAUUUUCUUACAAGGUCCAGGUUGAUUUCAUAUAUAUUUAGCAGAGUUUGUGUCCUCCUCUUCAGUCCUCGGAUUUAAGUAGCUCUGGGCUCCCACACACUGGCUGUGGCAUGUCCAUACCUGUCUGUCCAUGCCCAGUCCUGUUUGUCUGGAUUUCCCUCUUGGUGGUGCUGUCAGGCACUAAGCAGGUUUGGUUUUUCAGGACUGUGGGCAGCAUUCCCUGAGAGGUGAUGUGUUUCCUGAUCUUUGGAGCAAUGCUUUGCUGAAUAAUGCUCUCUUUUAAAACAGCGUGCUCACUUUCUUUCAAUACGCGUUCACUGAGACACAUCGUUCCCGCUAUUUGUUGUGGUGUAGUGACCCACAUAUCUCAGAAUCCAGGGUGUCCCAAGUUCACAGCAGCAGGUGGAAGCAGCCCCAGCAUCCAUUGGGGAUGAAUGGAUGAACAGAAUGUGGAACAUACAUGCAAAGGAAGAUCAUUCAGCAAGGAAAGGCGUCCUGGCACAAGGGACGGUAUGCUGAGUGAUGUAGACAGACACGAAAAGGACAAAUACCGUUUGAUUCCAUUCAUAUGAAGGACCUGGAGUAGUCAGGUUCCUAGAAGCAGAAGUGGAAGGAAUAUUGGUUGCCAGGGCCUGGGAAAGAGGGAGUGGAGUUGUUGUUUCAGGGAUGCAGAGUUUCAAUUUGGGAAGAUGAAAAAGUCCUGGAGAUGUGCUGAACAAAAAUUUGAAGAUGCUGAACACUACUGGACUGUAGCUACAAAUGGCUUGUUGCAUGUAAUCUACCACAACUUAAGAAACAGACUGGGUGUGGUGUCUCACAUCUGUAAUCCCAGCCCUCAGGAGGAUCGAGAGUUUGAGACCAGCUUGGGCUUCAUAGUGAGACUGUCUGAAACAAACAAAACAAAACACUAAGACCCACCCCCUGUGCCUGCUCCUAGACACUUCUCAACUCAUCCCUGACUUCUAACGUUUUCGAGUGGUGUGAACGCCAGGCAAACCUCCAGGAUGUGUUUUUCUUUUCUUUCCUUUUUUCUUCUUUUGGUGGGACUGGAGUAUGACCUCAAACCUUCGUGCUUGCAAAGCAGGAGCUCAAGAUUCUUCAGGCGCACCUCCAAUCCAUUUUGCUCUGGUAUUUUGGAGAUGGGGGUCUCGAGAACCAUUUGUCCCUGCUGGCCUGGAUGGAACUUGGUCUUCCAAGUAGCUAGGAUGACAGGCGUGAGCCACCAGUGCCGGCCAAGGUAUGUUCUUUAUGUCUUCUGCUUCUUCUGCUGCUGCAGAGACUUGCACUGGAGGAAUUUGCACCAUUGUUUGUCAUUUUACCAUUAGCGAACCUUUGGGUUGUUGCUGGCGUGGGGCUUUUGUGACUAAAGCUGCUGUGAAUAUCAUAUACGUACCUUUCAGUAUGUGCAUUUCUUUCUGGUAAUUUCUAGGAAUCUAUUAAUUAUUAUUUUGGGGAGGGGGAGGUGCUAUGACUUGAAC
Non-coding RNA from Castor canadensis (American beaver), 3103 nucleotides. The record is from RefSeq and is a predicted model, not a curated record. Lineage: Eukaryota; Metazoa; Chordata; Mammalia; Rodentia; Castoridae.